GGAGCUUGCUCCCGGAUGUUAGCGGCGGACGGGUGAGUAACACGUGGGUAACCUGCCUGUAAGACUGGGAUAACUCCGGGAAACCGGAGCUAAUACCGGAUAGUUCCUUGAACCGCAUGGUUCAAGGAUGAAAGACGGUUUCGGCUGUCACUUACAGAUGGACCCGCGGCGCAUUAGCUAGUUGGUGGGGUAAUGGCUCACCAAGGCGACGAUGCGUAGCCGACCUGAGAGGGUGAUCGGCCACACUGGGACUGAGACACGGCCCAGACUCCUACGGGAGGCAGCAGUAGGGAAUCUUCCGCAAUGGACGAAAGUCUGACGGAGCAACGCCGCGUGAGUGAUGAAGGUUUUCGGAUCGUAAAGCUCUGUUGUUAGGGAAGAACAAGUGCGAGAGUAACUGCUCGCACCUUGACGGUACCUAACCAGAAAGCCACGGCUAACUACGUGCCAGCAGCCGCGGUAAUACGUAGGUGGCAAGCGUUGUCCGGAAUUAUUGGGCGUAAAGGGCUCGCAGGCGGUUUCUUAAGUCUGAUGUGAAAGCCCCCGGCUCAACCGGGGAGGGUCAUUGGAAACUGGGAAACUUGAGUGCAGAAGAGGAGAGUGGAAUUCCACGUGUAGCGGUGAAAUGCGUAGAGAUGUGGAGGAACACCAGUGGCGAAGGCGACUCUCUGGUCUGUAACUGACGCUGAGGAGCGAAAGCGUGGGGAGCGAACAGGAUUAGAUACCCUGGUAGUCCACGCCGUAAACGAUGA
RNAcentral lists this ribosomal RNA (752 nucleotides) under Bacillus safensis. RNAcentral's name for it is "bacterial SSU rRNA". It matches the Rfam family "Bacterial small subunit ribosomal RNA", at positions 75 to 812 of the family's 1533-position model. Lineage: Bacteria; Bacillati; Bacillota; Bacilli; Caryophanales; Bacillaceae. The record is from RNAcentral.